RNAcentral lists this ribosomal RNA (459 nucleotides) under uncultured bacterium. Its description in RNAcentral is "partial 16S ribosomal RNA". It matches the Rfam family "Bacterial small subunit ribosomal RNA", at positions 338 to 795 of the family's 1533-position model. The record is from RNAcentral.
CCUACGGGUGGCAGCAGUGAGGAAUAUUGGUCAAUGGCCGGAAGGCUGACCCAGCCAAGCCGCGUGAAGGACGCAGGUGCCAAGCAUUUUAAACUUCUUUUGCCGGGGAACAAAGUGCCGCACGUGUGCGGUUUGGAGAGUACCCGGAGAGACAGCAUCGGCUAACUCCGUGCCAGCAGCCGCGGUAAUACGGAGGAUGCGAGCGUUAUCCGGGUUUAUUGGGUUUAAAGGGUGCGUAGGCGGACGCUUAAGUCAGCGGUAAAAUUGCGGGGCUCAACCUCGUCGAGCCGUUGAAACUGGGUGCCUUGAGUGGGCGAGAAGUACGCGGAAUGCGUGGUGUAGCGGUGAAAUGCAUAGAUAUCACGCAGAACUCCGAUUGCGAAGGCAGCGUACCGGCGCCCAACUGACGCUGAAGCACGAAGGCGUGGGUAUCGAACAGGAUUAGAUAUCCCAGUAGUC